GAUGAACGCUGGCGGCGUGCCUAAUACAUGCAAGUCGAGCGAACAGAUGAGGAGCUUGCUCCUCUGACGUUAGCGGCGGACGGGUGAUUAACACGUGGAUAACCUACCUAUAAGACUGGGAUAACUUCGGGAAACCGGAGCUAAUACCGGAUAAUAUAUUGAACCGCAUGGUUCAAUAGUGAAAGACGGUUUUGCUGUCACUUAUAGAUGGAUCCGCGCCGCAUUAGCUAGUUGGUAAGGUAACGGCUUACCAAGGCAACGAUGCGUAGCCGACCUGAGAGGGUGAUCGGCCACACUGGAACUGAGACACGGUCCAGACUCCUACGGGAGGCAGCAGUAGGGAAUCUUCCGCAAUGGGCGAAAGCCUGACGGAGCAACGCCGCGUGAGUGAUGAAGGUCUUCGGAUCGUAAAACUCUGUUAUUAGGGAAGAACAAAUGUGUAAGUAACUAUGCACGUCUUGACGGUACCUAAUCAGAAAGCCACGGCUAACUACGUG
This 497-nucleotide ribosomal RNA is filed under the name uncultured bacterium. Its description in RNAcentral is "partial 16S ribosomal RNA". It matches the Rfam family "Bacterial small subunit ribosomal RNA", at positions 28 to 507 of the family's 1533-position model. The record is from RNAcentral.